RNAcentral lists this transfer RNA (72 nucleotides) under Pseudanabaenaceae cyanobacterium LEGE 13415. It matches the Rfam family "tRNA". From Rfam's summary of the family: Transfer RNA (tRNA) molecules are approximately 80 nucleotides in length. Their secondary structure includes four short double-helical elements and three loops (D, anti-codon, and T loops). The record is from Rfam by way of RNAcentral. Lineage: Bacteria; Bacillati; Cyanobacteriota; Cyanophyceae; Pseudanabaenales; Pseudanabaenaceae.
GCCGAUGUAGCACAGUGGUAGUGCAUUCGAUUCGUAAUCGAAAGGUCGCGGGUUCAAAUCCCGCCAUCGGCU